UACGGAGGGUGCAAGCGUUAUCCGGAUUUACUGGGUUUAAAGGGUGCGUAGGUGGGUCUGUAAGUCAGUGGUGAAAUCUCCGAGCUUAACUCGGAAACUGCCAUUGAUACUAUAGGUCUUGAAUUAUCUGGAGGUAAGUGGAAUAUGUCAUGUAGCGGUGAAAUGCUUAGAUAUGACAUAGAACACCAAUUGCGAAGGCAGCUUACUACGGAUAUAUUGACACUGAGGCACGAAAGCGUGGGGAUCAAACAGG
This 253-nucleotide ribosomal RNA is filed under the name uncultured bacterium. Its description in RNAcentral is "partial 16S ribosomal RNA". It matches the Rfam family "Bacterial small subunit ribosomal RNA", at positions 524 to 776 of the family's 1533-position model. The record is from RNAcentral.